This 1594-nucleotide ribosomal RNA is filed under the name Salmonella enterica subsp. enterica serovar Kasenyi. RNAcentral describes it as "partial 23S ribosomal RNA". It matches the Rfam family "Bacterial large subunit ribosomal RNA", at positions 1226 to 2802 of the family's 2925-position model. Lineage: Bacteria; Pseudomonadati; Pseudomonadota; Gammaproteobacteria; Enterobacterales; Enterobacteriaceae. The record is from RNAcentral.
GGGUAGGGGAGCGUUCUGUAAGCCUGUGAAGGUGUGUCGUGAGGCAUGCUGGAGGUAUCAGAAGUGCGAAUGCUGACAUAAGUAACGAUAAAGCGGGUGAAAAGCCCGCUCGCCGGAAGACCAAGGGUUCCUGUCCAACGUUAAUCGGGGCAGGGUGAGUCGACCCCUAAGGCGAGGCCGAAAGGCGUAGUCGAUGGGAAACGGGUUAAUAUUCCCGUACUUGGUGUUACUGCGAAGGGGGGACGGAGAAGGCUAUGUUGGCCGGGCGACGGUUGUCCCGGUUUAAGCGUGUAGGUGUGUGUUCCAGGUAAAUCCGGUUCACUUUAACACUGAGGCGUGAUGACGAGGCACUACGGUGCUGAAGCAACAAAUGCCCUGCUUCCAGGAAAAGCCUCUAAGCAUCAGGUAACAUCAAAUCGUACCCCAAACCGACACAGGUGGUCAGGUAGAGAAUACCAAGGCGCUUGAGAGAACUCGGGUGAAGGAACUAGGCAAAAUGGUGCCGUAACUUCGGGAGAAGGCACGCUGACACGUAGGUGAAGUGAUUUACUCAUGGAGCUGAAGUCAGUCGAAGAUACCAGCUGGCUGCAACUGUUUAUUAAAAACACAGCACUGUGCAAACACGAAAGUGGACGUAUACGGUGUGACGCCUGCCCGGUGCCGGAAGGUUAAUUGAUGGGGUCAGCGCAAGCGAAGCUCCUGAUCGAAGCCCCGGUAAACGGCGGCCGUAACUAUAACGGUCCUAAGGUAGCGAAAUUCCUUGUCGGGUAAGUUCCGACCUGCACGAAUGGCGUAAUGAUGGCCAGGCUGUCUCCACCCGAGACUCAGUGAAAUUGAACUCGCUGUGAAGAUGCAGUGUACCCGCGGCAAGACGGAAAGACCCCGUGAACCUUUACUAUAGCUUGACACUGAACAUUGAGCCUUGAUGUGUAGGAUAGGUGGGAGGCUUUGAAGCGUGGACGCCAGUCUGCGUGGAGCCGACCUUGAAAUACCACCCUUUAAUGUUUGAUGUUCUAACGUGGACCCGUGAUCCGGGUUGCGGACAGUGUCUGGUGGGUAGUUUGACUGGGGCGGUCUCCUCCUAAAGAGUAACGGAGGAGCACGAAGGUUGGCUAAUCCUGGUCGGACAUCAGGAGGUUAGUGCAAUGGCAUAAGCCAGCUUGACUGCGAGCGUGACGGCGCGAGCAGGUGCGAAAGCAGGUCAUAGUGAUCCGGUGGUUCUGAAUGGAAGGGCCAUCGCUCAACGGAUAAAAGGUACUCCGGGGAUAACAGGCUGAUACCGCCCAAGAGUUCAUAUCGACGGCGGUGUUUGGCACCUCGAUGUCGGCUCAUCACAUCCUGGGGCUGAAGUAGGUCCCAAGGGUAUGGCUGUUCGCCAUUUAAAGUGGUACGCGAGCUGGGUUUAGAACGUCGUGAGACAGUUCGGUCCCUAUCUGCCGUGGGCGCUGGAGAACUGAGGGGGGCUGCUCCUAGUACGAGAGGACCGGAGUGGACGCAUCACUGGUGUUCGGGUUGUCAUGCCAAUGGCACUGCCCGGUAGCUAAAUGCGGAAGAGAUAAGUGCUGAAAGCAUCUAAGCACGAAACUUGCCCCGA